RNAcentral lists this ribosomal RNA (766 nucleotides) under Escherichia coli. RNAcentral describes it as "partial 23S ribosomal RNA". It matches the Rfam family "Bacterial large subunit ribosomal RNA", at positions 418 to 1184 of the family's 2925-position model. Lineage: Bacteria; Pseudomonadati; Pseudomonadota; Gammaproteobacteria; Enterobacterales; Enterobacteriaceae. The record is from RNAcentral.
CGGGACACGUGGUAUCCUGUCUGAAUAUGGGGGGACCAUCCUCCAAGGCUAAAUACUCCUGACUGACCGAUAGUGAACCAGUACCGUGAGGGAAAGGCGAAAAGAACCCCGGCGAGGGGAGUGAAAAAGAACCUGAAACCGUGUACGUACAAGCAGUGGGAGCACGCUUAGGCGUGUGACUGCGUACCUUUUGUAUAAUGGGUCAGCGACUUAUAUUCUGUAGCAAGGUUAACCGAAUAGGGGAGCCGAAGGGAAACCGAGUCUUAACUGGGCGUUAAGUUGCAGGGUAUAGACCCGAAACCCGGUGAUCUAGCCAUGGGCAGGUUGAAGGUUGGGUAACACUAACUGGAGGACCGAACCGACUAAUGUUGAAAAAUUAGCGGAUGACUUGUGGCUGGGGGUGAAAGGCCAAUCAAACCGGGAGAUAGCUGGUUCUCCCCGAAAGCUAUUUAGGUAGCGCCUCGUGAAUUCAUCUCCGGGGGUAGAGCACUGUUUCGGCAAGGGGGUCAUCCCGACUUACCAACCCGAUGCAAACUGCGAAUACCGGAGAAUGUUAUCACGGGAGACACACGGCGGGUGCUAACGUCCGUCGUGAAGAGGGAAACAACCCAGACCGCCAGCUAAGGUCCCAAAGUCAUGGUUAAGUGGGAAACGAUGUGGGAAGGCCCAGACAGCCAGGAUGUUGGCUUAGAAGCAGCCAUCAUUUAAAGAAAGCGUAAUAGCUCACUGGUCGAGUCGGCCUGCGCGGAAGAUGUAACGGGGCUAA